CAGCCGCCGCGGGAAUACGAAGGGUGCAAGCGUUACUCGGAAUUACUGGGCGUAAAGCGUGCGUAGGUGGUGGUUUAAGUCCGUUGUGAAAGCCCUGGGCUCAACCUGGGAAUUGCAGUGGAUACUGGGUCACUAGAGUGUGGUAGAGGAUAGUGGAAUUUCCGGUGUAGCAGUGAAAUGCGUAGAGAUCGGAAGGAACAUCUGUGGCGAAGGCGACUAUCUGGGCCAACACUGACGCUGAGGUACGAAAGCAUGGGGAGCAAACAGGAUUAGAUACCCCCGUAGUCCCUGUCUCUUAUAC
Molecule: ribosomal RNA, 301 nt
Filed under: uncultured bacterium
Lineage: Bacteria
Description: partial 16S ribosomal RNA
Rfam family: Bacterial small subunit ribosomal RNA
Source: RNAcentral